RNAcentral lists this ribosomal RNA (731 nucleotides) under Microbacterium sp. YIM007. RNAcentral's name for it is "bacterial SSU rRNA". It matches the Rfam family "Bacterial small subunit ribosomal RNA", at positions 56 to 798 of the family's 1533-position model. Lineage: Bacteria; Bacillati; Actinomycetota; Actinomycetes; Micrococcales; Microbacteriaceae. The record is from RNAcentral.
UGCAAGUCGAACGGUGAACACGGAGCUUGCUCUGUGGGAUCAGUGGCGAACGGGUGAGUAACACGUGAGCAACCUGCCCCUGACUCUGGGAUAAGCGCUGGAAACGGCGUCUAAUACUGGAUACGAGUAGCGACCGCAUGGUCAGUUACUGGAAAGAAUUUUGGUUGGGGAUGGGCUCGCGGCCUAUCAGCUUGUUGGUGAGGUAAUGGCUCACCAAGGCGUCGACGGGUAGCCGGCCUGAGAGGGUGACCGGCCACACUGGGACUGAGACACGGCCCAGACUCCUACGGGAGGCAGCAGUGGGGAAUAUUGCACAAUGGGCGAAAGCCUGAUGCAGCAACGCCGCGUGAGGGAUGACGGCCUUCGGGUUGUAAACCUCUUUUAGCAGGGAAGAAGCGAAAGUGACGGUACCUGCAGAAAAAGCGCCGGCUAACUACGUGCCAGCAGCCGCGGUAAUACGUAGGGCGCAAGCGUUAUCCGGAAUUAUUGGGCGUAAAGAGCUCGUAGGCGGUUUGUCGCGUCUGCUGUGAAAUCCGGAGGCUCAACCUCCGGCCUGCAGUGGGUACGGGCAGACUAGAGUGCGGUAGGGGAGAUUGGAAUUCCUGGUGUAGCGGUGGAAUGCGCAGAUAUCAGGAGGAACACCGAUGGCGAAGGCAGAUCUCUGGGCCGUAACUGACGCUGAGGAGCGAAAGGGUGGGGAGCAAACAGGCUUAGAUACCCUGGUAGUCCAC